RNAcentral lists this ribosomal RNA (465 nucleotides) under uncultured bacterium. RNAcentral describes it as "partial 16S ribosomal RNA". It matches the Rfam family "Bacterial small subunit ribosomal RNA", at positions 338 to 795 of the family's 1533-position model. The record is from RNAcentral.
CCUACGGGUGGCAGCAGUGGGGAAUAUUGCGCAAUGGGCGAAAGCCUGACGCAGCGACGCCGCGUGAGGGAUGAAGGUCUUCGGAUCGUAAACCUCUGUCAGCAGGGAAGAACGGUCAUUGUGCUAAUCAGCAGUGAAUUGACGGUACCUGCAAAGGAAGCACCGGCUAACUCCGUGCCAGCAGCCGCGGUAAUACGGAGGGUGCGAGCGUUAAUCGGAAUUACUGGGCGUAAAGCGCUCGUAGGCGGUAUGUCAAGUCAAGGGUGAAAGCCCCGCGCUCAACGUGGGAACUGCAUUUGAAACUGGGAAACUGGAGUGUGUGAGAGGAGAGUGGAAUUCCAGGUGUAGGAGUGAAAUCCGUAGAGAUCUGGAGGAACAUCAGUGGCGAAGGCGACUAUCUGGCACAUAACUGACGCUGAGGAGCGAAAGCGUGGGUAGCAAACAGGAUUAGAUACCCCUGUAGUC